RNAcentral lists this ribosomal RNA (253 nucleotides) under uncultured bacterium. RNAcentral describes it as "partial 16S ribosomal RNA". It matches the Rfam family "Bacterial small subunit ribosomal RNA", at positions 524 to 776 of the family's 1533-position model. The record is from RNAcentral.
UACGUAGGGGGCUAGCGUUGUCCGGAAUCAUUGGGCGUAAAGAGCGUGUAGGCGGUCCGGUAAGUCCGCUGUGAAAGUCGGGGGCUCAACCCUCGAAUGCCGGUGGAUACUGUCGGGCUAGAGUACGGAAGAGGCGAGUGGAAUUCCUGGUGUAGCGGUGGAAUGCGCAGAUAUCGGGAGGAACACCAGUGGCGAAGGCGACUACCUGGCCUGUUCUUGACGCUGAGGCGCGAAAGCUAGGGGAGCAAACGGG